RNAcentral lists this small RNA (79 nucleotides) under Flavobacterium micromati. Its description in RNAcentral is "Flavo-1 RNA". It matches the Rfam family "Flavo-1 RNA". The record is from Rfam by way of RNAcentral. Lineage: Bacteria; Pseudomonadati; Bacteroidota; Flavobacteriia; Flavobacteriales; Flavobacteriaceae.
ACAUAGCCCAGAUUGAAGAGAAAAUCCUUUUUAUUCGCCUUAGCGAAUAAAAAGAUUGAAACGAAAAGCUGGAAAUAGC